GACAUAGGGGGCAAGCGUUGUCCGGAAUUACUGGGCGUAAAGGGAGCGUAGGCGGGUAAUUAAGUUAAGUGUGAAAGCCUUGGGCUUAACCCAAGAAAUGCACUUGAUACUGGUUUUCUAGAGUGUAGGAGAGGUAAGUGGAAUUCCUAGUGUAGCGGUAAAAUGCGUAGAGAUUAGGAGGAACAUCAGAGGCGAAGGCGGCUUACUGGACUAUAACUGACGCUGAGGCUCGAAAGCGUGGGGAGCAAACAGG
RNAcentral lists this ribosomal RNA (253 nucleotides) under uncultured bacterium. RNAcentral describes it as "partial 16S ribosomal RNA". It matches the Rfam family "Bacterial small subunit ribosomal RNA", at positions 524 to 776 of the family's 1533-position model. The record is from RNAcentral.